GACGAACGCUGGCGGCGUGCUUAACACAUGCAAGUCGAGCGCUGUAGCAAUACAGAGCGGCAGACGGGUGAGUAACGCGUGGGAAUCUUCCCAAUGGUACGGAAUAGCUCAGGGAAACUUGGGGUAAUACCGUAUAAGCCCGAAAGGGGAAAGGAUUUAUCGCCAUUGGAUGAGCCCGCCGUCUGAUUAGCUAGUUGGUGAGGUAAUGGCUCACCAAGGCGACGAUCAGUAGCUGGUCUGAGAGGAUGACCAGCCACACUGGGACUGAGACACGGCCCAGACUCCUACGGGAGGGCAGCAGUGGGGAAGUAUUGGGACAAUGGGCGGAAAGCCUGAUCCAGCCAUGCCGCGUGAGUGACGAAGGUCUUCGG
This 371-nucleotide ribosomal RNA is filed under the name uncultured bacterium. Its description in RNAcentral is "bacterial SSU rRNA". It matches the Rfam family "Bacterial small subunit ribosomal RNA", at positions 28 to 421 of the family's 1533-position model. The record is from RNAcentral.